Molecule: ribosomal RNA, 497 nt
Filed under: uncultured bacterium
Lineage: Bacteria
Description: partial 16S ribosomal RNA
Rfam family: Bacterial small subunit ribosomal RNA
Source: RNAcentral
GAUGAACGCUGGCGGCGUGCCUAAUACAUGCAAGUCGAGCGAACAGACGAGGAGCUUGCUCCUCUGACGUUAGCGGCGGACGGGUGUGUAACACGUGGAUAACCUACCUAUAAGACUGGGAUAACUUCGGGAAACCGGAGCUAAUACCGGAUAAUAUAUUGAACCGCAUGGUUCAAUAGUGAAAGACGGUUUUGCUGUUACUUAUAGAUGGAUCCGCGCCGCAUUAGCUAGUUGGUAAGGUAACGGCUUACCAAGGCAACGAUGCGUAGCCGACCUGAGAGGGUGAUCGGCCACACUGGAACUGAGACACGGUCCAGACUCCUACGGGAGGCAGCAGUAGGGAAUCUUCCGCAAUGGGCGAAAGCCUGACGGAGCAACGCCGCGUGAGUGAUGAAGGUCUUCGGAUCGUAAAACUCUGUUAUUAGGGAAGAACAAAUGUGUAAGUAACUAUGCACGUCUUGACGGUACCUAAUCAGAAAGCCACGGCUAACUACGUG